Molecule: transfer RNA, 74 nt
Filed under: Trichuris muris
Lineage: Eukaryota; Metazoa; Nematoda; Enoplea; Trichinellida; Trichuridae
Description: snRNA TMUE_0100000135
Rfam family: tRNA
About the family: Transfer RNA (tRNA) molecules are approximately 80 nucleotides in length. Their secondary structure includes four short double-helical elements and three loops (D, anti-codon, and T loops).
Source: RNAcentral
GACCGGGUAGCUCAGUAGCUUAGAGCGUAGUGCUAAUAACACUAAGAUAGUGGGUUCGACCUCCAUUCUGGCCA